Molecule: ribosomal RNA, 510 nt
Filed under: uncultured bacterium
Lineage: Bacteria
Description: partial 16S ribosomal RNA
Rfam family: Bacterial small subunit ribosomal RNA
Source: RNAcentral
GACGAACGCUGGCGGCGUGCUUAACACAUGCAAGUCGAACGAAGAGCGAUGGACGCUUGCUUCUAUCAAUCUUAGUGGCGAACGGGUGAGUAACGCGUAAUCAACCUGCCCUUCAGAGGGGGACAACAGUUGGAAACGACUGCUAAUACCGCAUACGAUCUAAUCUCGGCAUCGAGGAUAGAUGAAAGGUGGCCUCUACAUGUAAGCUCUCACUGAAGGAGGGGAUUGCGUCUGAUUAGCUAGUUGGAGGGGUAACGGCCCACCAAGGCGAUGAUCAGUAGCCGGUCUGAGAGGAUGAACGGCCACAUUGGGACUGAGACACGGCCCAGACUCCUACGGGAGGCAGCAGUGGGGAAUCUUCCGCAAUGGACGAAAGUCUGACGGAGCAACGCCGCGUGAGCGAUGACGGCCUUCGGGUUGUAAAGCUCUGUUAAUCGGGACGAAAGGCCUUCUUGCGAAUAGUGAGAAGGAUUGACGGUACCGGAAGAGAAAGCCACGGCUAACUACGUG